GAGACUGGAAUUCCUGGUGUAGCGGUGAAAUGCGCAGAUAUCAGGAGGAACACCGGUGGCGAAGGCGGGUCUCUGGGCCGAUACUGACGCUGAGGAGCGAAAGCGUGGGGAGCGAACAGGAUUAGAUACCCUGGUAGUCCACGCCGUAAACGGUGGGUGCUAGGUGUGGGGGACUUCCACGUCCUCCGUGCCGCAGCUAACGCAUUAAGCACCCCGCCUGGGGAGUACGGCCGCAAGGCUAAAACUCAAAGGAAUUGACGGGGGCCCGCACAAGCGGCGGAGCAUGUGGAUUAAUUCGAUGCAACGCGAAGAACCUUACCUGGGCUUGA
Molecule: ribosomal RNA, 329 nt
Filed under: uncultured bacterium
Lineage: Bacteria
Description: bacterial SSU rRNA
Rfam family: Bacterial small subunit ribosomal RNA
Source: RNAcentral